CCUGGUGGUUCCUCCCCGCUGCUCGCGGCGCGGCUCCUGGUGGUUCCUCCCCGCUGCUCGCGGCGGGCGUCAUAGAGCGCGGGGGGUUCGCCGGCGGCCUAGAGAGGCUCGACGCGCUGUGCGAUAAAUGGAAUUAGAUUAUGAAGAACUAUUAAUUCCAGGGAAAAGAAAUGUGAACUUUAACAUAUUUGCAGUGAUAAGUCAUUGGAUACCACUGAUUUGGGUGAGCAGCCAGAUUAUCCAUGAGAAACUGAUUAGUGUAUUCUGUCGAGCAAACUAAGGUAGGUUGUUAAAGUAAUACAACCAAUGAAUUAUAGCUCUCUAUAUUUUAGUCCAUGUGUAGACCACUCCCUGUUUAAUUACUGGUUGGGCCAUAUGUUUACUUUGGCCAAUGGGACAUUAGCAAAUGUAAUGCAAGCAAAAGCUUAAAAAGAAUUUGCACAGGGCAUCCCUGAAACUGCCAUGUGAAGAAGGGCAAGCUGACCUUUGGAGGAUAAGUACACAGAAAGCAGAGACGAGCCAUCUCAACAGACUCCAUAGACCAAAUAGCCCAGCCUGUGCACCAGGAGACCAUAGUUUCAUUAGUUACCCAAGACAAGAGCAGAAUUGCCUAAUGACCCCAGCCCAAAUUGCUGACCCACAAAAUCAUAAGCAAAUAAAGUGGUUAUUUGGUGGUA
Molecule: long non-coding RNA, 677 nt
Organism: Felis catus (domestic cat)
Lineage: Eukaryota; Metazoa; Chordata; Mammalia; Carnivora; Felidae
Exons: 2
Source: RefSeq, a predicted model, not a curated record